This 409-nucleotide ribosomal RNA is filed under the name uncultured Nitrososphaerota archaeon. RNAcentral's name for it is "bacterial SSU rRNA". It matches the Rfam family "Archaeal small subunit ribosomal RNA", at positions 452 to 861 of the family's 1478-position model. Lineage: Archaea; Thermoproteati; Nitrososphaerota. The record is from RNAcentral.
CUGGUGUCAGCCGCCGCUUUAAUACCAGCACCUCGAGUGGUCAGGACGUUUAUUGGGCCUAAAGCAUCCGUAGCCGGCUCUGCAAGUCUUCGGUUAAAUCCACCUGCUCAACAGAUGGGCUGCUGGAGAUACUACAGAGCUAGGGAGUGGGAGAGGCAGACGGUAUUCAGUGGGUAGGGGUAAAAUCCUCUGAUCCAUUGAGGACCACCAGUGGCGAAGGCGGUCUGCCAGAACACGUUCGACGGUGAGGGAUGAAAGCUGGGGGAGCAAACCGGAUUAGAUACCCGGGUAGUCCCGGCUGUAAACGAUGCAAACUCGGUGAUGCAUUGGCUUAUGGCCAAUGCAGUGCCGCAGGGAAGCCGUUAAGUUUGCCGCCUGGGAAGUACGGACGCAAGUCUGAAACUUAAAG